This 370-nucleotide unclassified non-coding RNA is filed under the name Hevea brasiliensis (rubber tree). Lineage: Eukaryota; Viridiplantae; Streptophyta; Magnoliopsida; Malpighiales; Euphorbiaceae. The record is from RNAcentral.
CUGUCGUCUACUUUCUGCGUCCGCUAAACACCUACCUUCAUUUAUUAACUCUGUAAUUUUAGAGACCGAAGGUGGAGGAGAACCUGUUUUUUGAAAGCCAAGUGAAGCGACGACCUACUGGCCUUUUGUAGACAUGUUUCUGCCUAUAUGAGCAUGUGGCUUUGCUUAAUUGCACAGCCACAUGGGGUUUUCUUCUGCUCUUCGCUCCAAUCUUCCGGCCAACACCUCCCCAAAGUUGUUCUCGCUGAGGUUCAGUGUGAAGCAGAACAGACCGAAUUUUAUAAAAAUUGCAAAGACAACAAUACCUUCAAGGUGGAUUGUCAAAUCAGCCUUAAAUGGCAGCAAGCCGAAGUUUAAUGACAAUGGGGCA